UUAGGGGUGGAAAUCGGACGGAUCGGAUCGGAUUUGGGUGUUUCGGAAAAUUUCCGAUUUUUUUCGGAAGGCUAAAAUGCCUUCCGAUUCCGAUUCCGAUUUUUUCGGAAUUCAAGAAUCGAUUCCGAUUCCGAUUUUUUCGGAAAUUUCGGAAAAUCGGAUUUUUUCGGAAUCCUUCAUUUUCGGAUUUUUCGGAAUUUCCGGAUUUAAAAAAGAAAAAAAAUGAAAACAAAAUAAAGGGCAGCGGGGCUGGUGCUCGUCGAGAGAACGAGAGCGGCGUGGCUGGAGCUCGAUGGAGAGAACGAGGGCGGCGGGGCUGGUGCUCAGCGGAGAGAACGAGGGCGGCGGGGCUGGUGCUCGGCGGAGAGAACGAGGGCGGUGGGGCUGGUUUUCGGUGGAGAGAAAGAGGGCGGCGCUGCCGGUGCAAAAGGUGGAGAGAAU
Molecule: long non-coding RNA, 441 nt
Filed under: Erythranthe guttata (spotted monkey flower)
Lineage: Eukaryota; Viridiplantae; Streptophyta; Magnoliopsida; Lamiales; Phrymaceae
Description: long non-coding RNA (EGUT_LNC000089)
Source: RNAcentral